AAAAAAACAAACCCUAGGUUUCCGUGUCAAAUGUUUGAUUGUCCGUCUUAUAUAAUUUUUUUUAUAUUAGUAUUUUCAUUAUUGUUAGAUGAUAAAACAUGAUUAAUACUUUAUGCAUGACUUGUCUUUUUAAUUUUUUCAUAUUUUUUAAAAUAAGAUGAACAGUCAAAUCUAGGGUUUAUC
This is a microRNA precursor of Oryza sativa Japonica Group (Japanese rice), 183 nucleotides long. It matches the Rfam family "MIR812 microRNA precursor family". NCBI's taxonomy places the organism in Eukaryota, Viridiplantae, Streptophyta, Magnoliopsida, Poales, Poaceae. The record is from Rfam.